CCUACGGGAGGCAGCAGUGAGGAAUAUUGGUCAAUGGGCGCGAGCCUGAACCAGUCAAGUAGCGUGAAGGAUGACUGCCCUACGGGUUGUAAACUUCUUUUAUAAAGGAAUAAAGUGAGGCACGUGUGCCUUUUUGUAUGUACUUUAUGAAUAAGGAUCGGCUAACUCCGUGCCAGCAGCCGCGGUAAUACGGAGGAUGCGAGCGUUAUCCGGAUUUAUUGGGUUUAAAGGGUGCGCAGGCGGCCUGUUAAGUCAGCGGUAAAAGCCCGGGGCUCAACCCCGGCGAGCCGUUGAAACUGGCGGGCUGGAGUUGGAGAGAAGUACGCGGAAUGCGCGGUGUAGCGGUGAAAUGCUUAGAUAUCACGAAGAACUCCGAUUGCGAAGGCAGUUCACUGGACUGCAACUGACACUGAGGCACGAAAGUGUGGGUAUCAAACAGGAUUAGAUACCCUGGUAGUC
RNAcentral lists this ribosomal RNA (459 nucleotides) under uncultured bacterium. Its description in RNAcentral is "partial 16S ribosomal RNA". It matches the Rfam family "Bacterial small subunit ribosomal RNA", at positions 338 to 795 of the family's 1533-position model. The record is from RNAcentral.